CCUACGGGCGGCUGUAGUGGGGAAUAUUGGACAAUGGGCGAAAGCCUGAUCCAGCCAUGCCGCGUGUGUGAAGAAGGCCUUCGGGUUGUAAAGCACUUUCAGUGGGGAAGAAAGCCUUGGGGCUAAUACCCUCGAGGAAGGACAUCACCCACAGAAGAAGCACCGGCUAACUCCGUGCCAGCAGCCGCGGUAAUACGGAGGGUGCGAGCGUUAAUCGGAAUUACUGGGCGUAAAGCGCGCGUAGGCGGUCUGAUAAGCCGGUUGUGAAAGCCCCGGGCUCAACCUGGGAACGGCAUCCGGAACUGUCAGGCUAGAGUGCAGGAGAGGAAGGUAGAAUUCCCGGUGUAGCGGUGAAAUGCGUAGAGAUCGGGAGGAAUACCAGUGGCGAAGGCGGCCUUCUGGACUGACACUGACGCUGAGGUGCGAAAGCGUGGGUAGCAAACAGGAUUAGAUACCCGGGUAGUC
Molecule: ribosomal RNA, 465 nt
Filed under: Vreelandella stevensii
Lineage: Bacteria; Pseudomonadati; Pseudomonadota; Gammaproteobacteria; Oceanospirillales; Halomonadaceae
Description: partial 16S ribosomal RNA
Rfam family: Bacterial small subunit ribosomal RNA
Source: RNAcentral